UCAAGCGACUAAGUGUAUGUGGUGGAUGCCUUGGCGAUCACAGGCGAUGAAGGACGCGGCAGCCUGCGAAAAGCCGUGGGGAGUUGGCAAGCAAACAUUGAUCCACGGAUGUCCGAAUGAGGGAACUCACUCGAGCAAUCGAGUAUCCGCAUCUGAAUACAUAGGAUGCGGAGGCGAACGCGGAGAACUGAAACAUCUAAGUACCCGCAGGAAAAGAAAUCAACCGAGAUUCUGAAAGUAGCGGCGAGCGAAAUUGGAAGAGCCUGCAGUCGAUAGUCGAAGCGAUACCGGAACGGUCUGGAAAGUCCGGCUACAGAGGGUGAUAGCCCCGUACGGGAAAUUGAGUCGACAGUACUAAGGCUGCGAGAAGUAGGGCGGAACACGUGGAAUUCUGUCUGAAGACGGGGGGACCAUCCUCCAAGGCUAAAUACUAGUGAUCGACCGAUAGUGAACCAGUACUGUGAAGGAAAGGCGAAAAGAACCCCGGGAGGGGAGUGAAAUAGAUCCUGAAACCGCAUACAUACAAACAGUAGGAGCCCGCAGUAGGGUGACUGCGUACCUUUUGCAUAAUGGGUCAGCGACUUACGUUCAAUGGCGAGCUUAACCGAAUAGGGGAGGCGCAGCGAAAGCGAGUCCGAACAGGGCGACAGGAGUCGUUGGGCGUAGACCCGAAACCAGAUGAUCUAUCCAUGGUCAGGUUGAAGGUGUGGUAACACACACUGGAGGACCGAACCGACUAGUGUUGCAAAAUUAGCGGAUGAGCUGUGGAUAGGGGUGAAAGGCUUAACAAAUCUGGAGAUAGCUGGUUCUCCCCGAAAACUAUUGAGGUAGUGCCUCGUGUAUUGCUCCAGGGGGUAGAGCACUGUUAUGGCUAGGGGGACAUGGCGUCUUACCAAACCAUGGCAAACUCCGAAUACUUGGAAGUAAGAGCACGGGAGACAGAGCACCGGGUGCUAACGUCCGGACUCAAAAGGGAAACAACCCAGACCGCCGGCUAAGGUCCCAAAUAUCGGCUAAGUGGAAAACGAAGUGGAAAGGCUAAGACAGUCAGGAAGUUGGCUUAGAAGCAGCCAUCCUUCAAAGAAAGCGUAAUAGCUCACUGAUCGAGUCUUUCUGCGCGGAAGAUGUAACGGGGCUAAGUCGAUAACCGAAGCCGCGGAUUCGCAGCAAUGCGAGUGGUAGGGGAGCGUUCCGUAAGCCUGCGAAGGCGGACCCGCGAGGGCCGCUGGAGGUAUCGGAAGUGCGAAUGCUGACAUGAGUAACGUUAAAGCGGGUGAAAAGCCCGCUCGCCGUAAGCCCAAGGUUUCCUGCUCUACGUUCAUCGGAGCAGGGUGAGUCGGCCCCUAAGGCGAGGCUGAGAAGCGUAGCCGAUGGGAAGCAGGUUAAUAUUCCUGCACCGCCGCCAAGUGCGAAGGGGGGACGGAGCAUUGAAGGUCAUCCGGGUGUUGGAAAUCCCGGUUUACGAGCGUAGGAGGUCGACAGGCAAAUCCGUCGGCGAAUCUCCGAGGCGAAGGAUCGAGAGCCGUAUGGCUUGAAGUGACCGGAUGUGCUUCCAGGAAAAGCCUCUAAGCAUCAGCUUGGCGGGACCGUACCGCAAACCGACACUGGUGGGCGAGCUGAAUAUGCUCAGGCGCUUGAGAGAACUCAGGAGAAGGAACUCGGCAAAUUGACACCGUAACUUCGGGAUAAGGUGUGCCUUUGUAGCGUGAAGGGAGAAACACCCGGAGCGUGAAGAGGUCUCAGAGAAUCGGUGGCUGCGACUGUUUACUAAAAACACAGCACUCUGCAAAGAUGAAAGUCGACGUAUAGGGUGUGAUGCCUGCCCGGUGCUGGAAGAUUAAUUGAUGGGGUGCAAGCCCUUGAUCGAAGUCCCAGUAAACGGCGGCCGUAACUAUAACGGUCCUAAGGUAGCGAAAUUCCUUGUCGGGCAAGUUCCGACCUGCACGAAUGGCAUAACGAUGGCCACACUGUCUCCUCCUGAGACUCAGUGAAGUUGAAGUGUUUGUGAUGAUGCAAUCUCCCCGCGGCUAGACGGAAAGACCCCAUGAACCUUUACUGCAGCUUUGCAUUGGACUUUGAACCGAUCUGUGUAGGAUAGGCGGGAGGCAGAGAAACCGGGACGCCAGUACCGGUGGAGCCAUCCUUGAAAUACCGCCCUGAUUUGUUUGAGGUUCUAACCUAGGCCCGUGAACCGGGUCGGGGACCGUGCAUGGUAGGCAGUUUGACUGGGGCGGUCU
This 2237-nucleotide ribosomal RNA is filed under the name human gut metagenome. RNAcentral describes it as "bacterial LSU rRNA". It matches the Rfam family "Bacterial large subunit ribosomal RNA", at positions 3 to 2285 of the family's 2925-position model. The record is from RNAcentral.